GGGGGCGGGGCCGGGCCGCCAGGCUGCAUGGCAGCAGAACCUCAUGUCUCCCAGGCUGAGCUCAGGAAAACGGCUAAAAAACAGCACACAGAAUACAAUUAAGCUGGAUUCAUCUACAUGCUGACGAAGAGGAACACAUAAGCUGCCCGAGGAUACCACACUGAACCCGGUAAUGGGAUGGGAACAUUGAGUCUCGUAAGCCGGGCCUACACGCCAUAAUGGGCCUGGACAUGUAAGACACCUGUAGGCGCGCGGAUAGUGGCCCAACAGGCCGGGGAAGACCGACACCCGGCAAUUCUUCACUGAGGACAGCAAAGCCACAAGGGGUGGCCCGGCCCUGCUUCCCCCCCCGGCCGGUGGGGGUAAUCCCGGCCACAUGGGGACGACAUACUCCAGGGCGGAAGAAACCGCAUGGGGCCAACACCGAUCCCCUGAACAGGCAAAGGCCACCAGACUGGGGCCCGCCUGCAGACUUACUCCACAGGAGACGGAACAC
This is a non-coding RNA of Pelobates cultripes (western spadefoot toad), 496 nucleotides long. The record is from the annotation of a GenBank genome assembly. NCBI's taxonomy places the organism in Eukaryota, Metazoa, Chordata, Amphibia, Anura, Pelobatidae.